GACGAACGCUGGCGGCGUGCUUAACACAUGCAAGUCGAACGGAAAGGCCCUGCUUUUGUGGGGUGCUCGAUUGGCGAACGGGUGAGUAACACGUGAGUAACCUGCCCUUGACUUUGGGAUAACUUCAGGAAACUGGGGCUAAUACCGGAUAGGAGCUCCUGCUGCAUGGUGGGGGUUGGAAAGUUUCGGCGGUUGGGGAUGGACUCGCGGCUUAUCAGCUUGUUGGUGGGGUAGUGGCUUACCAAGGGUUUGACGGGUAGCCGGCCUGAGAGGGUGACCGGCCACAUUGGGACUGAGGUACGGCCCAGACUCCUACGGGAGGCAGCAGUGGGGAAUAUUGCACAAUGGGCGGAAGCCUGAUGCAGCAACGCCGCGUGCGGGAUGACGGCCUUCGGGUUGUAAACCGCUUUCGCCUGUGACGAAGCGUGAGUGACGGUAAUGGGUAAAGAAGCACCGGCUAACUACGUG
Molecule: ribosomal RNA, 468 nt
Filed under: uncultured bacterium
Lineage: Bacteria
Description: partial 16S ribosomal RNA
Rfam family: Bacterial small subunit ribosomal RNA
Source: RNAcentral